This 69-nucleotide transfer RNA is filed under the name Rhamnusium bicolor. Its description in RNAcentral is "tRNA-OTHER". It matches the Rfam family "tRNA", at positions 5 to 66 of the family's 71-position model. From Rfam's summary of the family: Transfer RNA (tRNA) molecules are approximately 80 nucleotides in length. Their secondary structure includes four short double-helical elements and three loops (D, anti-codon, and T loops). The record is from RNAcentral. Lineage: Eukaryota; Metazoa; Arthropoda; Insecta; Coleoptera; Cerambycidae.
UCGGUAGUAUAGUGGUCAGUAUCCCCGCCGGUCACGCGGGAGACCGGGGUUCAAUUCUCCGCCGCACAG